UGAGAGGCUGUUCUAUUUCUAUAUUUUAUUUUUAACCUCUUUUACUCUUUAUUGUGAAGGAUUCUGGGAUGCUGCUCCUAAUUGACCACUAGAUAUAUAGAAUACGCAAGUUAGUCCCAAGCUGCAACUAAAUAAAACUCAUUAGAAAACUCAUUAGAAAAUUCUGCUGGCCCUAAAUCUUGGAAGACUUUGAACUGAUUUCUAUUAAAUACCUCAUGACCACAAUUCUGGGCUCUAGCAUGCUUUGAAGAACAAUGGCACAUAGGAAAAAAAUCCCCUUCAAGGUGUUAUAAAACAUUUGCCUUUGCAUAACAGGACUUCAUUGCAGCUCACAAUGGAUCAGACUGUCAGAUUAUGAACUUUGUUUUGGAGACUAUGUGCCAUUGUAUGUGUGCAUGGUAUUUAACAUACUAGGAGUUAAGCCCCAUACUUUCAUGGACAGCUGCAAAUGUUUCACAUUAUUUCAGCAGCAGAAAUUUGUAAUAAACUUUGUUGACUAGAA
Catharus ustulatus (Swainson's thrush) is the source of this 502-nucleotide long non-coding RNA. RefSeq lists it as uncharacterized. The transcript is spliced from 4 exons. The record is from RefSeq and is a predicted model, not a curated record. NCBI's taxonomy places the organism in Eukaryota, Metazoa, Chordata, Aves, Passeriformes, Turdidae.